This 472-nucleotide ribosomal RNA is filed under the name uncultured bacterium. RNAcentral's name for it is "bacterial SSU rRNA". It matches the Rfam family "Bacterial small subunit ribosomal RNA", at positions 8 to 507 of the family's 1533-position model. The record is from RNAcentral.
AGAGUUUGAUCAUGGCUCAGAACGAACGCCUGGCGGCAUGCCUAACUCAUGCAAGUCGAACGGGAUCCGAGCUUCGGUUCGGUGAGAGUGGCGGACGGGUGAGUAACGCGUGGGAACCUGCCCAGUGGUGGGGGAUAACUGCGGGAAACUGCAGCUAAUACCGCAUGAGCCCGAGAGGGGAAAGAUGGCGCAAGCUAUCGCCGAAAGAUGAGCCUGCGUCCCAUUAGUUAGUUGGUGGGGUAAUGGCUUACCAAGACAAUGAUGGGUACCUGGUCUGAGAGGAUGACCAGGCACACUGGAACUGAAACACGGUCCAGACUCCUACGGGAGGCAGCAGUAGGGAAUAUUGCGCAAUGGACGAAAGUCUGACGCAGCCACGCCGCGUGAGUGAGGAAGGCCUUCGGGUUGUAAAGCUCUUUUACCAGGGAUGAUAAUGACAGUACCUGGAGAAUAAGCUCCGGCUAACUCCGUG